This 73-nucleotide microRNA precursor is filed under the name Cercocebus atys (sooty mangabey). RNAcentral's name for it is "miRNA (ENSCATG00000043152.1)". Lineage: Eukaryota; Metazoa; Chordata; Mammalia; Primates; Cercopithecidae. The record is from RNAcentral.
AUUAGGUUGGUGCAAAAGUAAUUGCAGUUUUUGCAAUUACUUUUAAUGGCAAAAACCACAAUUACUUUUGCAC